AUAUUGUGAACAUAAGGUGGUAUGCAAAGAGAUUCUUG
RNAcentral lists this small RNA (38 nucleotides) under Arabidopsis thaliana (thale cress). Its description in RNAcentral is "ATSL017760". Lineage: Eukaryota; Viridiplantae; Streptophyta; Magnoliopsida; Brassicales; Brassicaceae. The record is from RNAcentral.